AAGAAGGGAAGUGAGGCAGCAGCCAAGCAGCACCAAGUUCCUCUGUCAGCAGGAAAUAACUCCUGUCAGCAGCACCUUUCCGACUGAAGUGGCAGAUGGAGUUGUUCCUGUGGUGUGGGCCAGUGGAAUUCCAGGAGGAUGGACAAGGGCAGAGCCUGUAGAAUGUGACUGCAAGAACCUGCAGAGAAACCCAGUGGCAAAGAGGAUUGAUCAGUGCAGGACCUGAGAGAAGCACCUGGAAUGACAACCGUGAGCAGCUGACAGUCCUAGAUUUC
Long non-coding RNA from Empidonax traillii (willow flycatcher), 275 nucleotides. RefSeq lists it as uncharacterized. The transcript is spliced from 3 exons. The record is from RefSeq and is a predicted model, not a curated record. NCBI's taxonomy places the organism in Eukaryota, Metazoa, Chordata, Aves, Passeriformes, Tyrannidae.